Molecule: ribosomal RNA, 496 nt
Filed under: uncultured bacterium
Lineage: Bacteria
Description: bacterial SSU rRNA
Rfam family: Bacterial small subunit ribosomal RNA
Source: RNAcentral
CAGGAUGAACGCUAGCUACAGGCUUAACACAUGCAAGUCGAGGGGUAGCAGGGUAGCAAUACCGCUGACGACCGGCGCACGGGUGAGUAACACGUAUCCAACCUUCCCAUAACUCAGGGAUAGCCUUUCGAAAGAAAGAUUAAUACCUGAUAGUACUUUUUCAAGGCAUCUUGAGAAAGUUAAAGAUUUAUUGGUUAUGGAUGGGGAUGCGUUCCAUUAGAUAGUUGGUGAGGUAACGGCUCACCAAGUCUUCGAUGGAUAGGGGUUCUGAGAGGAAGGUCCCCCACAUUGGUACUGAGACACGGACCAAACUCCUACGGGAGGCAGCAGUGAGGAAUAUUGGUCAAUGGGCGAGAGCCUGAACCAGCCAAGUAGCGUGAAGGAUGAAGGUCCUAUGGAUUGUAAACUUCUUUUAUAGUAGAAUAAAGUGAUCCACGUGUGGACUUUUGUAUGUAUACUAUGAAUAAGGAUCGGCUAACUCCGUGCCAGCCGCAGC